GGACCUGUAGCUCAGCUUGGAUAGAGCACCUGCCUUCUAAGCAGGGGGUCGUGGGUUCGAAUCCCAUCAGGUCCG
RNAcentral lists this transfer RNA (75 nucleotides) under Candidatus Woesearchaeota archaeon. Its description in RNAcentral is "tRNA-Arg". It matches the Rfam family "tRNA". From Rfam's summary of the family: Transfer RNA (tRNA) molecules are approximately 80 nucleotides in length. Their secondary structure includes four short double-helical elements and three loops (D, anti-codon, and T loops). Further hydrogen bonds mediate the characteristic L-shaped molecular structure. tRNAs have two regions of fundamental functional importance: the anti-codon, which is responsible for specific mRNA codon recognition, and the 3' end, to which the tRNAs corresponding amino acid is attached (by aminoacyl-tRNA synthetases). tRNAs cope with the degeneracy of the genetic code in two manners: having more than one tRNA (with a specific anti-codon) for a particular amino acid; and 'wobble' base-pairing, i.e. permitting non-standard base-pairing at the 3rd anti-codon position. The record is from RNAcentral. Lineage: Archaea; Nanobdellati; Candidatus Woesearchaeota.